ACUGAACAUUCUCAUUUACAUCAACAACCUGGAGAAUAGUUACAGGGGAGAUGAUUAGGUGGCCAUGAUGGAAUGAGGACCGGAUUGGGAAUUUAGCCAGGACACAGGAAUAACACCCUUACUCUUCCAAUAAGUGCCAUGGGACCUUUAGUGACUACAGAGAGUCGGGACACCCGUUUUAACAUCCCAUCUGAAAGACGCCACCCUACACAGGGAAAUGUUCCCAAACACUGCCCUGGGGCAUUGGGAUAUUGUUUUAGACCAGAGGAAAGAGUGCCUUCCAUAGGGCAGCGCACAAUUGGGCCAGAUUAGAUUAGGGUUUGGCCAGGGUAUUUUAAUUUGUUCUUAACUGACUUGCCUAGUUAAAUAAAGGUUCAAUAAAAUGUACAUAAAUACUGGCCCUCCAAAACCACUUCCAGCAGCAUCUGGUCACCCAUCCAGGGACCGACCCUGCUUAGCUUCAGAGACAAGCCAGCAGUGGGAUGCAGGGUGGUAUGAAUCCUCUGUGUAAAGGUGAGUCUCUCACGAACAUGUCGGUUGUUUUGCUCUAGGACGCCCACAAGCAUCACAAGACUCGACUGAAGGUAGCACGGUACCUGUUUUAAAAAAGAAUGAGUAGAAGUAUAUAACCGGUACAACCAGGCCAAGCUGAGUAUGCAUGACCAGGCUCUGAAGGUGUCAGCAGUGGUAGAAAGUCUGGAGAGGGAGAUGGAGCUUCUGUGUUUGAUUGGGGUUGAGGUCGACAUCAGGCCAAGCCUGGAGCUCCUCAGCAAUGCUGGAAUCAAACUGUGAAUAUAUGGAUGCUUACUGGGGAUAAGCUGGAGACAGCUACUUGUAUCGCUAAAAGCUCCCAUUUGGUGUCCAGAAGUGAAGAUUGGUCUCCAACGGUGGAGAGGCCCAUCUGGAGCUCAAUGCCUUCAGAAGGAAACACGACUGUGCUCUGGUCGUCUCUGGAGACUCCUUGGCGGUACUACAACACAACACACUUCUCACAAGCCUCUCAAGAUGGUACUGUAGAUGUAGCCAAAAAUAUUCUGGUGUCAAAACUAAAACCUUUUGAGUCCAAAACUGCAAGAAGAGCAACAAAGCACAUCAGUUAUGAUUUUAUAAGCAAAACAAACUACAUUUUAUCACUGUUGAUCUGAAGAGAUGGUACAGUAAGUAAUAUGUGAGUGUGCUUGUGGGUUCAGAUGUGUUUGCAUUUUCCAAAUCCAUAUGUUUAUCUUCCCACAUAGUCUGCGGGACUAUGAGCAUGAGUUUGUGGAACUGGCGUGUCAGUGUCCAGCGGUAGUCUGCUGUCGCUGCUCCCCCACUCAGAAAGCCCAGAUCGUCCACCUGCUCAAGCACCACACAGCCAACCGAACCUGUUCCACCUAUGGCACAGGUUUUGUAACAACUAACCACUCUCAUCCUUUGAGACACAGAACUGCUACAAUGAUCUGUGUACAAUGAAUGCCAAAUUAUAAAGUAGAUUGUAGAAAAUGCCUACCAGUAAUAUACCUGUAUCUCACUAUUGACUACUUUGUUUUGAAAAUGAAGAAACUAGACCCAGUAUGAGAAGGUACACCCCUAUUAUGUCCACAAUUAAAGAGCAUAAGCAUCUCUGUUAACAUUGUUUUGUCCUGGGGCAUAAGCCUUAUCUCCAUAUUGCUCUUUUACAUGCUAUUAUUGAACCUGUGGCUGACAUGUGGCUCUCUUGUCUCUCACAUGUGAUGAAGGUAAUGAUGUCAAUAUGAUCCAGGCAGCAGACUGUGGUAUUGGUAUUGAAGGAAAGGUUAAUAAUCCAUAUUACGCCUCUUACCUUAUCCAUUUAUUAUUACAUGAAAUAGUAAAAACAUGAUUUUUUAAACAAAAAUGCAAAACCUGUUACGGGCCCCA
Molecule: long non-coding RNA, 1878 nt
Organism: Oncorhynchus tshawytscha (Chinook salmon)
Lineage: Eukaryota; Metazoa; Chordata; Actinopteri; Salmoniformes; Salmonidae
Source: Ensembl